AGGACGAACGCUGGCGGCGUGCUUAACACAUGCAAGUCGAACGGUGAAGCCUUUCGGGGUGGAUCAGUGGCGAACGGGUGAGUAACACGUGGGCAAUCUGCCCUGCACUCUGGGACAAGCCCUGGAAACGGGGUCUAAUACCGGAUAUGACCUGCUCUCGCAUGGGAUGCAGGUGGAAAGCUCCGGCGGUGCAGGAUGAGCCCGCGGCCUAUCAGCUUGUUGGUGGGGUGAUGGCCUACCAAGGCGACGACGGGUAGCCGGCCUGAGAGGGCGACCGGCCACACUGGGACUGAGACACGGCCCAGACUCCUACGGGAGGCAGCAGUGGGGAAUAUUGCACAAUGGGCGAAAGCCUGAUGCAGCGACGCCGCGUGAGGGAUGACGGCCUUCGGGUUGUAACCUCUUCAGCAGGGAAGAGCGCAAGUGACGGUACCUGCAGAAGAAGCACCGGCUAACUACGUGCCAGCAGCCGCGGUAA
This 478-nucleotide ribosomal RNA is filed under the name uncultured bacterium. RNAcentral describes it as "SSU rRNA". It matches the Rfam family "Bacterial small subunit ribosomal RNA", at positions 26 to 523 of the family's 1533-position model. The record is from RNAcentral.